ACCCCCGUGAGUACGCCCUCGACCCCCCGCCCGGGGAUCAGGAGCGAGCAUCAGGCACACAAAUCCUAGCCCAAGACGCCCAGCCAAGCCACACCCCCAAGGGAAUUCAGCAGUGAUAAACAUUAAGCCAUGAGUGAAAACUCGACUCAGUCAGGGUUAACAGGGCCGGUAAAACUCGUGCCAGCUACCGCGGUUAAACGAGAGGCCCCAGUUGAUAAUACCGCGGCGUAAAGGGUGGUUAAGGGCUCCAACCAAUAAAGCUAAAUAGCCCCCCGGCCGUCAUACGCUUCCGGGCGCUAGAGACCCAAUUGCACGAAAGUAGCUUUAGUAACACUCACCUGACCCCACGAAAGCUGAGAAACAAACUGGGAUUAGAUACCCCACUAUGCUCAGCCAUAAACCCAGACAUCGAAGUACAAUUGUAUGUCCGCCAGGGCACUACGAGCAUUAGCUUGAAACCCAAAGGACCUGACGGUGCCUCAGACCCCCCUAGAGGAGCCUGUCCUAGAACCGAUAACCCCCGUUUAACCUCACCACUUCUGGUCUCCCCA
RNAcentral lists this ribosomal RNA (551 nucleotides) under Tanakia lanceolata. RNAcentral's name for it is "partial 12S rRNA". It matches the Rfam family "Bacterial small subunit ribosomal RNA", at positions 307 to 991 of the family's 1533-position model. Lineage: Eukaryota; Metazoa; Chordata; Actinopteri; Cypriniformes; Acheilognathidae. The record is from RNAcentral.